UCUUGGAGAGUUUGAUCCUGGCUCAGGACGAACGCUGGCGGCGUGCUUAACACAUGCAAGUCAAGGGGGUCCGCAAGGACAACCGGCGAACGGGUGCGUAACACGUGAGUGACCUGCCUGGAAAUGGGGGAUAGCCGGCCCAACGGCCGGGUAAUACCGCAUACG
RNAcentral lists this ribosomal RNA (165 nucleotides) under Gemmatimonadota bacterium. RNAcentral describes it as "Gemmatimonadetes bacterium partial 16S ribosomal RNA". It matches the Rfam family "Bacterial small subunit ribosomal RNA", at positions 1 to 177 of the family's 1533-position model. Lineage: Bacteria; Pseudomonadati; Gemmatimonadota. The record is from RNAcentral.